AGAGUUUGAUCAUGGCUCAGAUUGAACGCUGGCGGCAUGCCUUACACAUGCAAGUCGAACGGCAGCAUGAUCUAGCUUGCUAGAUUGAUGGCGAGUGGCGAACGGGUGAGUAAUACAUCGGAACGUGCCCUGUAGUGGGGGAUAACUAGUCGAAAGAUUAGCUAAUACCGCAUACGACCUGAGGGUGAAAGUGGGGGACCACAAGGCCUCAUGCUAUAGGAGCGGCCGAUGUCUGAUUAGCUAGUUGGUGAGGUAAAGGCUCACCAAGGCGACGAUCAGUAGCUGGUCUGAGAGGACGAUCAGCCACACUGGGACUGAGACACGGCCCAGACUCCUACGGGAGGCAGCAGUGGGGAAUUUUGGACAAUGGGCGAAAGCCUGAUCCAGCAAUGCCGCGUGUGUGAAGAAGGCCUUCGGGUUGUAAAGCACUUUUGUCCGGAAAGAAAUGGCUCUGGUUAAUACCUGGGGUCGAUGACGGUACCGGAAGAAUAAGGACCGGCUAACUACGUGCCAGCAGCCGCGGUAAUACGUAGGGUCCAAGCGUUAAUCGGAAUUACUGGGCGUAAAGCGUGCGCAGGCGGUUGUGCAAGACCGAUGUGAAAUCCCCGAGCUUAACUUGGGAAUUGCAUUGGUGACUGCACGGCUAGAGUGUGUCAGAGGGGGGUAGAAUUCCACGUGUAGCAGUGAAAUGCGUAGAGAUGUGGAGGAAUACCGAUGGCGAAGGCAGCCCCCUGGGAUAACACUGACGCUCAUGCACGAAAGCGUGGGGAGCAAACAGAAUUAGAUACCCUGGUAGUCCACGCC
This 804-nucleotide ribosomal RNA is filed under the name uncultured bacterium. RNAcentral describes it as "bacterial SSU rRNA". It matches the Rfam family "Bacterial small subunit ribosomal RNA", at positions 8 to 801 of the family's 1533-position model. The record is from RNAcentral.